RNAcentral lists this ribosomal RNA (253 nucleotides) under uncultured bacterium. Its description in RNAcentral is "partial 16S ribosomal RNA". It matches the Rfam family "Bacterial small subunit ribosomal RNA", at positions 524 to 776 of the family's 1533-position model. The record is from RNAcentral.
UACGGAGGGGGCGAGCGUUAUUCGGAAUUAUUGGGCGUAAAGGGCGCGUAGGCGGCUGUACAAGUCAAAGGUGAAAUCCCUCGGCUCAACUGAGGAACUGCCUUUGAAACUGUACGGCUUGAGGCCGGGAGGGGGUAGCGGAAUUCCCAGUGUAGCGGUGAAAUGCGUAGAUACUGGGAGGAACACCAGUGGCGAAGGCGACUACCUGGCCUGUUCUUGACGCUGAGGCGCGAAAGCUAGGGGAGCAAACGGG